AGUUCGAUUAUGGCUCAGAUUGAACGCUGGCGGGAUGCUUUACACACGCCUGCAAGUCGAACGGCAGCACGGACUUCGGUCUGGUGGCGAGUGGCGAACGGGUGAGUAAUGUAUCGGAACGUGCCUGGUAACGCGCCGGGAGAUAACUACGCGAAGGCAGCGCUAAUACCGCACGCCCAUCCGGGGAAAGCGGGGACUGGGCGUCGCACUAUUAGAGCGGCCGAUAUCGGAUUAGCUAGUUGGUGGGGUAACGGCUCACUGAGCGGCGAUCCGUAGCUGGUUUGAGAGGACGACCAGCCACACUGGACCAGACCACGGCCAGACUCUGCAGGAGGCAGCAGUGGGAAUUUUGGACAAUGGAAACCCUGACCAGCCAUCCCGCGUGUGCGAUGAUGACCUUCGGGUUGUAAAAGCACUUUUGGCAGGAAAGAAACGGCACGGGAUAACACCCCACGUCAACUGACGGCUUCCCUGCAGAAUAACCUGGCUAACUACGUGCCAGCAGCCGCGGUAGCGUAGGGUGCAGCGUUAAUCGGAAUUACUGGGCGCUGCAGCAAUGCGCAGGCGGUUCGGAAGAAAGAUGUGAAAUCCCAGAGCUUAACUUUGGAACUGCAUUUUUUAACUACCGACUAGGUGUUGUCAGGGGAGAUUAAAUUCCGCGAUAGCAGUGAAAUGCGUAGAUAUGGAGGAACACCGAUGGCGGAGGCAGCCUCCUGGGAUAACACUGACGCUCAUGCACGAAAACGUGGGAGCAAACGGGAUUAGAUACCCUGGUAGUCCACGCCCUAAACGGUAUCAACAGCUGUUGGGGCCUUCGGGCCUUGUUGUACAACUAACGCGUAAGUUGACCGCCUGGGGAAUUACGGUCGCAAGAUUAAAACUCAAAGGUCAGCAGGGACCGCACAGCGGUGGAUGAUGUGGAUUAAUUCGAUGCAACGCGAAAAACCUUACCUACCGCCGGCAUAAUACCGGAGAUCCCGAAGAGAUUUGGGAGUCGCCCAUAGAAACCGGAACACAGGUGCUGCAUGGCUGUCGUCAGCUCGUGUCGUGAGAUGUUGGGUUAAGUCCCGCAACGAGCGCAACCCUUAUCAUUAGUUGCUACGAAAGAGGGCACUCUAUUGGACACUGCCGGUGAUAAACCAGCGGAGGAAGGUGGGGAUGACGUCAAGUCCUCAUGGCCCAUAUGGGUAGGGCUUCACACGUCAUACAAUGGUCAGGACAGAGGGUCGCCAGCCCGAGGGGAGCCAAUCCCGAAACCCGAUCGUAGUCCGGAUCGCAGUCUACAGCUCACGACUGCGUGAAGUCGGAAUCCGCUGGUAAUCGCGGAUCAGCAUGUCGCGAGUGAUCAUUCGGGUCUUGUACACACCGCCCAAUCACACCAUGGAGUGGGUUUUACCAGAAGUAGUUAGCCUAACCGUAAGGAGGCGAUUACCACGGUAGGAUUCAUGACUGGGGUGAAGUCGUAACAAAGAUAG
This 1475-nucleotide ribosomal RNA is filed under the name uncultured Bordetella sp. Its description in RNAcentral is "partial 16S-23S ribosomal RNA intergenic spacer". It matches the Rfam family "Bacterial small subunit ribosomal RNA". Lineage: Bacteria; Pseudomonadati; Pseudomonadota; Betaproteobacteria; Burkholderiales; Alcaligenaceae. The record is from RNAcentral.